Molecule: RNA transcript, 1228 nt
Organism: Glycine soja
Lineage: Eukaryota; Viridiplantae; Streptophyta; Magnoliopsida; Fabales; Fabaceae
Exons: 1
Source: RefSeq, a predicted model, not a curated record
UUCACCCUCUCUCUCCCUUCCUAUACCCGACCCCCUCUCUCUUUUCUUCCCAUUUUGCCCCUUCCUCCUUUCCUUGUUUCCGAGGAGGGCCAACCACAUAUGCUAAACAAGGAAACUAAAUUCUAACCUCCUUCAGAUCUACACCACCCUUCUCUUUUUUUUCCAGUUUCAUAAAUUCUACACCAUGGGCACGGAGGUUCUACGGCCACAAGAUUGUUUCACCCACCGCAUCGCUGUUCCACCGGCGGGGUUUUCCCGGAGAAGAACCUCUGGGACACACAACAACAAUUACUUCAGGGGCACGCGGAAGCCGGUUACCCGACCCGAACAGAGAAAACGGGUUGUGGAGAAAAGGCCCAGCUUCGAUGAUUCGAGGUUUUCGAGGUUGGAGAUGGAGAAGGUCACCAUUCUCCGGAGGGGGGAGUCGCUCGAUUCGAAGCUGAAAACCGGGGCUUUGAAGAAGGAAGGUGACAAUUUGGUCGUCGUUGGUACCCAGAGGCUCGGACCUGACCCGGAUAUGGUUCAGAAGCAGAUCCGGAUCGUGGAUUUCAGGUCCGGACGCCAGGUUUACGCCGGAUCGGCGUUCUCGGUGUCGCCAUCGCCGACCGCGCUGCCCUUGCCGUCGUUUUCGAAGAAGCAGCCGGCGGUUGCGGUUGCCGACUCCGCGACCCGUGAUCUCAGGCGUCUUCUUCGGCUUGAAUGAGCCGAUUCGCGUCCAUUUCUGGGUUUCGGGUCCCAAUUUUAACCUACCUUGGCUUCCUUUCUUCGUUCUGUUCAUUAAUCUAGAAUCUUCUGCUUCUCCGUUACGCUCCCUCUGAUUUUGGAGUCCUGACCUGACCGUGAUUUUUUUAAACGGGAGGGCGGAUCUGGAAUUGGGGAAAGUUUGGGGGCCAAAGUGUUAAUAAAAGAAGUUUGGAUUAGUUUAUGACAUCUUGUAAGAUUGUAAGAUCUUGUGGUUGUUGUGGUGGAGGUUGGUUGUUAAGGGCAAGUUUAGGUUGUAAUUUCAGAUUAGAAUGGAGAAAAUAAAUAAACUAAAAGUAAAAAAAAAAAAGAAGAAGAAAGAAGGGAGGGAGAUGGGGUGUUUGAUUUGUAAAAUUUCCGGAAGUGUAUUAUGGGGUUGUUAAUUAUGUGGGCUAAAAAGGGAUUCUGCUUGUAGGUCUGUGUACCCACCCUUUUGUAAUGUAAAGUGAAAAAAUUAAAAUAGGGAAAUUUGGCCAGAUUCAGAUUA